CCUACGGGUGGCAGCAGUCGAGAAUUUUUCUCAAUGGGGGAAACCCUGAAGGAGCGACGCCGCGUGAAGGAUGAAGGUCUUCGGAUUGUAAACUUCUGUCAUUAGAGAACUAGUACCUGAAGAGGAAGAGACGGCUAACUCUGUGCCAGCAGCCGCGGUAAUACAGAGGUCUCAAGCGUUGUUCGGAUUCAUUGGGCGUAAAGGGUGCGUAGGUGGCGGGGUAAGUUGGAUGUGAAAUCUCGGAGCUCAACUCCGAAACUGCAUUCAAUACUGCCUUGCUAGAGUACUGGAGAGGAGAUUGGAAUUUACGGUGUAGCAGUGAAAUGCGUAGAUAUCGUAAGGAAGACCAGUGGCGAAGGCGGAUCUCUGGACAGUACUGACACUGAGGCACGAAGGCCAGGGGAGCAAACGGGAUUAGAUACCCUUGUAGUC
This 432-nucleotide ribosomal RNA is filed under the name uncultured bacterium. Its description in RNAcentral is "partial 16S ribosomal RNA". It matches the Rfam family "Bacterial small subunit ribosomal RNA", at positions 338 to 795 of the family's 1533-position model. The record is from RNAcentral.